Limulus polyphemus (Atlantic horseshoe crab) is the source of this 3013-nucleotide long non-coding RNA. RefSeq lists it as uncharacterized. The transcript has 4 exons. Lineage: Eukaryota; Metazoa; Arthropoda; Merostomata; Xiphosura; Limulidae. The record is from RefSeq and is a predicted model, not a curated record.
CCGAAGUCGUAAUCUAGUCUGUCAUGGGAUAUUUAUAUGCUUGUGAUUUGUCAUUUUGUGAUGCUAUAACAGCAAUUGCUAUGAAACGGGAACAGGGAAGUAGGAGUUACAGCGCGUACUGGAUAGUUUUGGUCAUAUUUAGAAAGUUUGAACGAUUCUCCUUUAGAAAAUAAAACUUUUGUAAUUAAUUGGCAGUCCAGUUUGGCUUUUUCUAAAUAAAAGUUUUGUAGUCUGUAGAUUUUCAAAUACGAAACUAAUAGUAACGUUGAAAUAGCAUAUUUAAAAUUUUUUUAGCAUUUCUUCAGCUUAGGCCGUAACAAUAACUAUACCCGUAUAACUAUAAGGCUAACAUUUAUUAUAUAUCCAAAUGUUAAAAUGGAAGUUAAUCUCAUUUGGUAUAAUUGAAUCCAAAUCAUUGUACUAAUACUAGUACUAUUACUAGACAACUUUUUAUGUUUCAUGGGUAUAUAAGUGUAAAAAUCACUGUUUUUAAUGUGCAUGAAAAAAAAACGUAAUUUUAAAUAGUCUGUGACUGAAAUUGAAAACGAAAGUAUUAUUUUUUACUCCAAGUUCAAAUUUUAAUACUUUGUAAUCUUUCUGAAAAGAAGGAGCCUUAUGGUCUUGCAUAGAUAACAUUGACUAGGCAAAAACAAAACAGUAAGCCACCAAUAGUGUGGAAAUGAGAAAAUCAUGUUCUAGGAUUAAUGAAGAACAAAUACCAACAAAUUUUGUUCUCUGUUUUUUAAAGAGGAAGACUUAAAGUUCCAAGGGGGUCGAAUGCCAAUGAAGAGUGAAGAAUAAAUGGGCCACUGCAGUGAAAUGAGCAGAUCCAAGCAGUUGUGACAAGAAAUGGAAGCCAGUGGCUUAGAGUAGAAGUUGCUAUUUACAUUUCAUCUAAGAUUACUUUUCUCAGUUAUAGUUUUUAUAUGGUGGCAUCUACAUGAUACAGUCAUAUUACUUUCUGUGUAGAUUUAGAGAGAUUUAUAGCAUCGUCUAUAAAUUUAGCCUUAUGUCCCUGUUAAAAAACAGUGUAUUAAAAGUAGGCUAAUCCAUCAUGUAUGGACCACUGAAAGAACACCCAGAGUUAAGACCACUUGAGGCCAGUUUGUAGGGUGGCACUAAUUUUUAGAUUCCAUUGUCUUUGAAAAUUAGACAAAAAUUUCACAUGUUUUUUUGUAGCUGUCAACUUGUUGAAGGUUGCAUUACUUUUAGCCAAUAGAUUUCCUUAGUCAAUUUCAAGUUAUUGAUUCUGUCAAAAGUUCUGGCAGAUUCAUCUUGGUGGAUUGUGAGAUUAAUUCAUCUUCAUAUUUUUCAAUUACAGUGAGUACCAGUGAAUGUGUACCUGUUCUAUACAAUUUUUCAGUGUUGGUAAACUCAGCAUACUCGACACUGGAAGAGCUUGAUUUUAGCCAAGAACAUAGAACUGAAGUACAGGUCUGAUCUUUGCCACUAAAUACAAAGUUUUUCAAUAUAGAAUGUGAAGUUACAGUUGGAGAAACCAUUAUGUUUAUGUCCAAAAUGGUAGAUGAUAAAACUAGCUUUGCUUUAAGUCUUUUGACUACAUAUCCUCUAUAGGUUUUUUUGGGAUACCUAAAUGUCCUAGUUUUUCAUUCUUGUCAGUAACCUGUAACCUUUUCUAUACUUGUAUUCAGUAUUUUGACUCUGAGAAUCAUGAAUCCAAAGAUAUAAUUUUUUUUUUAACUGAGUAGGGAAAUUACCAAACAGUUCAGAAUAACUCAACAUAGCCUUUUCUGUUUUCCCUCAAGUUGGCUAUGAUGCAGACUGCAGAAGAUGAAGUGAUGUUACUAUGGGAUACCUCACUGAACGUGUGAUUUUUCGCCCACUAAAACAGAGAGAGACAGUUGAAUACAAGUGACAGGUAAAAUUGGCAGAUGAUUUUUGAUUUUCAAGUCAUAAAAAAAUUAUAUAAAAUAACUUAAGAAUGAAUAUAAAUGAUAGUUGCUUAGAAUUUUAUGACAAACUUAUGGUCAACAAGAAAUUACCAGGGGUUAAACUGAGGUAGAACAGUCAGGAACAGCAUUUUGCUUCUUGAGGAUUCAAGCCAUUAGCAUUUAAGGUCUUCUGAUUGGAAUAUUAAAAUAGAUCAUAAAAGGGAAUUCCACUUCUUCCAAAAUCCAAAUUUAAACAAUGAAAAUUGCUAGAAAAUAUUCACUCAUCAUAGUGGUAUCUAUAGCAGGUGUUAAAUAUUCACUCAUCAUAGAGGUAUCAAUAGCAGGUGUUAAAUAUUCACUCAUUAUAGAGGUAUUUAUAGCAGGUGUUUAAUUUUCAUCAUCAUAGAGGUAUGUAUAGCAGGUGUUAAAUAUUCACUCAUCAUAGAGGUAUCUAUAGCAGGUGUUAAAUAUUCACUCAUCAUAGAGGUAUGUAUAGCAGGUGUUAAAUAUUCACUCAUCAUAGAGGUAUCUAUAGCAGGUGUUAAAUAUUCACUCAUCAUAGAGGUAUCUAUAGCAGGUGUUAAAUAUUCACUCAUCAUAGAGGUAUCUAUAGCAGGUGUUAAAUAUACACGAUUGUUCAUUUUAAGUUUAAUAUGAGAGUAUUAUUUAGUUUAUAUAGUGCGAACGUUAAAGUAAGUUAUAUUCAGAAGUGAUAGUUGUGGCAAGUUUGUUUACAUAACUGUUUACAACUCAUUUGUUGUAAAUUGAUAUCAUGUUAUUCAAACUGUCUGAAUUUUUCUCGUUGCUUUGAAUGAGUAUUGUUACAUAAAACCAUCUCAUAGUUUGUAGAAAGUUAAUUCAGGCAAUACAUAGAUAUAUCUAUAAGCGAAUAAGUUAGAUGAAAAAAAGUAAGUUAGAGAAAGUGAAAGUAAGACAAAGUUAGUGCGAGAUAUAAUCAAAUAGACCUAGACUGUGUUUGUAAGUUUAACCUUAAAGAGUGUAUUCUGGUGACUUUUAAAGUGUAAUAAUAGCAGAUUGUAUUGUCAUAACAGAGUAGAGAAGAAUGAUUCAUCUUGUCAAUUGGUUUCUAAAGUAACUGAACCAGCUUAUGAUGAAAAAGA